AUGAAGGAGUUGCUACGCACAACCAAUGGCUCGAGCGCACCGCACCACGUGAAGAAAAAAAACCACCGCAACGCGACCGCGCGUGAGAAAAAACAGCGAGGGUCAGGCGAGCGCACCGCACCACGCGAGGGAAAAGACCACCGCUCCGCCCGUCCGCUUUCUCCUUCAUCCCCGUUCCCUCCUCUCCAACCGCCCGUCCUCCUCGAGCCCCGCCCCGCGUCCCUCCUCCUCCUCCCUGCUCGCUCACAUCGCGGGCGGCGCCACCUCCUCGCUAGGCCCAUCUCUGCCCACCCUCUCUUCCUCGCGAUUCGGAGCAGAAGGACGGAUGCGGCCACCCAGGCGUCGGCGCCGGCGCCGGCGCGGGAUUAUAGAGGAGAGGGGACAUCGAUGGCCAGGCAAGGAAGGACGAGGGGGAAUCUGGUGGAGGUGAUGAGGGAGCUGCUAAGGUGGGGCAGGAGAGGACGGCUCGCCGACAAGCUCGAGUUGGAGGCGAGGGCGAGAGGCGGUGUCGCGGUGAUAUGCAGGGGUGAGGGAGAUGGAGGCGGUGACCCGCAGCUCCUAUUGAAGGGGCGGAGAAGAGGGGGUACUCGUGUGAGCGGAGAAGAGGGGGUACUCGUGUGGAAGAAAUCGGGAGGAAGCGUUGGCAGUGACAGGUCGUGGAUCAUCUGUGCUUGUGCAGAUUUUAUUUCUGUACGCCUACAAGGUGUUCGACGAAAAUCCCAGAAGGCUGGCAGGGGAAGAAUGAUCUAUUCAAGUAAUUCUAAUAGGAAGACUGUUGGUUCAACUGAAGAUGCGGAGUCAGUGUGUGGACAGCUUGUUGGUAGAGUCCAUAAAAAAAUUCCAACCAGUCAUAACCGCCCUGCCUCGCUUCCGACGGUGCUGCUGGUUGCUCAGUGUUGGUGCGGGAUCGUUCGGUUCAUUGUUCAUUGUUCCGCUGGCUGCUCAGGUUUGCCAACAACAUCAGUUUGUUGUUUUCUCCCAGAGGUGGAUUAUUUCUGCGGGGUUGAGCUCCUCCAUGACCCGAUUUCUUACCUUGCUGGUUGUGUCAUAUGGCAGUCGGCAUUUGCUUGA
This 1071-nucleotide ribosomal RNA is filed under the name Triticum aestivum (bread wheat). RNAcentral describes it as "partial small subunit ribosomal RNA". The record is from RNAcentral. Lineage: Eukaryota; Viridiplantae; Streptophyta; Magnoliopsida; Poales; Poaceae.